UCCUAGGUAGCUCAAAUGGUAAAGAAUCUACCUGCAAUGUGGGAGACCUGGGUUCGAUCCCUAGGUUGGGAA
Molecule: transfer RNA, 72 nt
Filed under: Bos taurus (domestic cattle)
Lineage: Eukaryota; Metazoa; Chordata; Mammalia; Artiodactyla; Bovidae
Also listed under: 4 other names
Rfam family: tRNA
About the family: Transfer RNA (tRNA) molecules are approximately 80 nucleotides in length. Their secondary structure includes four short double-helical elements and three loops (D, anti-codon, and T loops).
Source: Rfam by way of RNAcentral